This is a non-coding RNA of Trichonephila clavipes, 76 nucleotides long. The record is from the annotation of a GenBank genome assembly. Lineage: Eukaryota; Metazoa; Arthropoda; Arachnida; Araneae; Nephilidae.
GCCAUCAUAGCUCAGUGGCAGAGCACUGGUCUUGUAAACUUUCAGGGGUCGUGUGUUCGAUCCUACGCUGGUGGCU